This 253-nucleotide ribosomal RNA is filed under the name Pseudocoprococcus catus. RNAcentral describes it as "Coprococcus catus partial 16S ribosomal RNA". It matches the Rfam family "Bacterial small subunit ribosomal RNA", at positions 524 to 776 of the family's 1533-position model. Lineage: Bacteria; Bacillati; Bacillota; Clostridia; Lachnospirales; Lachnospiraceae. The record is from RNAcentral.
UACGUAGGGGGCAAGCGUUAUCCGGAUUUACUGGGUGUAAAGGGAGCGUAGGCGGCGGAGCAAGUCAGAAGUGAAAGCCCGGGGCUCAACCCCGGGACGGCUUUUGAAACUGUCCUGCUUGAUUUCAGGAGAGGUAAGCGGAAUUCCUAGUGUAGCGGUGAAAUGCGUAGAUAUUAGGAGGAACACCAGUGGCGAAGGCGGCUUACUGGACUGACAAUGACGCUGAGGCUCGAAAGCGUGGGGAGCAAACAGG